Molecule: ribosomal RNA, 292 nt
Filed under: uncultured bacterium
Lineage: Bacteria
Description: partial 16S ribosomal RNA
Rfam family: Bacterial small subunit ribosomal RNA
Source: RNAcentral
GUGUCAGCAGCCGCGGUAAUACGAAGGGAGCUAGCGUUGUUCGGAAUCACUGGGCGUAAAGCGCACGUAGGCGGACUUGUCAGUCAGGGGUGAAAUCCCGGGGCUCAACCUCGGAACUGCCUCUGAUACAGCAAGUCUUGAGUCCGGAAGAGGUGGGUGGAAUUCCUAGUGUAGAGGUGAAAUUCGUAGAUAUUAGGAAGAACACCGGUGGCGAAGGCGGCCCACUGGUCCGGUACUGACGCUGAGGUGCGAAAGCGUGGGGAGCAAACAGGAUUAGAAACCCCUGUAGUCC